GGUGUCUAAGGAAAGCAACAAGCAGGGGACCUCCCACAUCUUACACUUACCUGGCCGAGAUAGUUAGUCAGUUUUGGGCUUGGAGUGCUUGAAGGUGAUCUUGGAACAGUUAGGAGCUGUCUAAAUCUAGGUUAACCCUAGGAUAGAAAGUCUAUUUUGUGCUAACUUAUCUGCCAUUAAAAUUUAAACCUAAUUAAAACACUCUUCUCUUUCAUCUCUAGAUUUAGGACUCCUUAGGACUCAUCUCUAGAACUCUUUUCUCUCUCCUUCCUCUUCUCU
Molecule: long non-coding RNA, 279 nt
Filed under: Elaeis guineensis (African oil palm)
Lineage: Eukaryota; Viridiplantae; Streptophyta; Magnoliopsida; Arecales; Arecaceae
Description: long non-coding RNA (EGUI_LNC079631)
Source: RNAcentral